GCGGGUGUAGCUCAGUUGGUAGAGCGUCAGCCUUCCAAGCUGAACGUCACGGGUUCGAAUCCCGUUACCCGCU
Molecule: transfer RNA, 73 nt
Filed under: Myxococcales bacterium
Lineage: Bacteria; Pseudomonadati; Myxococcota; Myxococcia; Myxococcales
Description: tRNA-Gly
Rfam family: tRNA
About the family: Transfer RNA (tRNA) molecules are approximately 80 nucleotides in length.
Source: RNAcentral